RNAcentral lists this ribosomal RNA (493 nucleotides) under uncultured bacterium. RNAcentral describes it as "partial 16S ribosomal RNA". It matches the Rfam family "Bacterial small subunit ribosomal RNA", at positions 29 to 508 of the family's 1533-position model. The record is from RNAcentral.
AGUGAACGCUGGCGGUAGGCCUAACACAUGCAAGUCGAACGGCAGCACAGUAAGAGCUUGCUCUUACGGGUGGCGAGUGGCGGACGAGUGAGGAAUACAUCGGAAUCUACUUUUUCGUGGGGGAUAACGUAGGGAAACUUACGCUAAUACCGCAUACGACCUACGGGUGAAAGCAGGGGAUCUUCGGACCUUGCGCGAUUGAAUGAGCCGAUGUCGGAUUAGCUAGUUGGCGGGGUAAAGGCCCACCAAGGCGACGAUCCGUAGCUGGUCUGAGAGGAUGAUCAGCCACACUGGAACUGAGACACGGUCCAGACUCCUACGGGAGGCAGCAGUGGGGAAUAUUGGACAAUGGGCGCAAGCCUGAUCCAGCCAUACCGCGUGGGUGAAGAAGGCCUUCGGGUUGUAAAGCCCUUUUGUUGGGAAAGAAAAGCAGCAGGUUAAUACCCCGCUGUUCUGACGGUACCCAAAGAAUAAGCACCGGCUAACUUCGUGC